GGGUUGUAAAUAAGUCCAACUCU
RNAcentral lists this small nuclear RNA (23 nucleotides) under Arabidopsis thaliana (thale cress). RNAcentral describes it as "snRNA_02914". The record is from RNAcentral. Lineage: Eukaryota; Viridiplantae; Streptophyta; Magnoliopsida; Brassicales; Brassicaceae.